Molecule: long non-coding RNA, 304 nt
Organism: Trematomus bernacchii (emerald rockcod)
Lineage: Eukaryota; Metazoa; Chordata; Actinopteri; Perciformes; Nototheniidae
Exons: 3
Source: RefSeq, a predicted model, not a curated record
AGGGAAACACUCUGAAGCCCCUGGACAACGCCUGCAUGUUCUCCACCUGCGCCAACCUGCAGGACGGAGGACAAAAGUGCAUCCCCUCUGACGAGUUUGAGUGUGAAGAGGCGCUGCUCGCUCAGGAGUCGAUGGACUCUCAGGAUUCUGCAGGAGCGAAGAUCAGCAGCCGGACCUCAACUCCUCCUCUUCCUCACCUCCUCCUCUUCCUCUUCCUCUCUGUGACUGUGUGUGUGUCCCUGCUCCUCGUCUCGUAAACUUACACAUGCAUACUGUUCACACACACACACACACACAACACACA